Mercenaria mercenaria is the source of this 465-nucleotide long non-coding RNA. RefSeq lists it as uncharacterized. The transcript has 4 exons. NCBI's taxonomy places the organism in Eukaryota, Metazoa, Mollusca, Bivalvia, Venerida, Veneridae. The record is from RefSeq and is a predicted model, not a curated record.
AACGUACGGUGGUGGUGCCUCAAAACUCAACGUACGGUGGUGGUGAUGGGCGAUAUUUAAGGUCUUAUGACAAGAGUUGGAAUUUUAUACAGAUAAAAAGUAUUAGUGCCACGAUAACAAUUGGAAGUGUCUGUCUAAGCUGAAGAAAACAAUAAUCGACAAUGAAAGUCUUUCUUUCUUUCCUCGUUAUUUCUUUAUUUGCAGGUGUUCAUUUGGCGUCCAUUCAACAUGGGUGCCCGGGAGGUCUUGGUCUUGUGAAUUGUUUCGUUGACCCAUGUAUGAUACCCAUGCAACAUGGCUGUGCCGGAUAUCCAAACGCAAAAUGCGUUUCGAACUAUUGUGGUGGCUGCAAUGCUGAAUGGUAUGACACUGAUGGAAGUCUCGUAUUCUGUCACUGAAAUAUCGUAUGGUUACAUCCUAAAAUCCAGACCUAAUUUUGAUAUAAUAAUAAAUGCUUAAACAGUG